This 253-nucleotide ribosomal RNA is filed under the name uncultured bacterium. Its description in RNAcentral is "partial 16S ribosomal RNA". It matches the Rfam family "Bacterial small subunit ribosomal RNA", at positions 524 to 776 of the family's 1533-position model. The record is from RNAcentral.
UACGUAGGUGGCAAGCGUUGUCCGGAAUUAUUGGGCGUAAAGAGCUCGUAGGCGGUCUGUCGCGUCGGAUGUGAAAAUCCAGGGCUCAACCCUGGACCUGCAUUCGAUACGGGCAGACUAGAGUUCGGCAGGGGAGACUGGAAUUCCUGGUGUAGCGGUGAAAUGCGCAGAUAUCAGGAGGAACACCGGUGGCGAAGGCGGGUCUCUGGGCCGAUACUGACGCUGAGGAGCGAAAGCGUGGGGAGCAAACAGG